GAAAGUUUUGGGGUUGUGAGUGUAUAUUUUUGUUGUUUAAUUGAGAAAUCUUUUUGGAUAUUAGGUGAAGAUUUUGGGAAUAAUGGUCCUCUGGCGAGUUAGUAUCCGUGAAGGCUACUAUUUUUGUUUCAGGUAAGUAAUCGUUGUUACGCGUGGGUUAAUUGUUGAAUUUAGGUUAAUGAUGGAAGUUAUGGUGGAGAAAGGUUUAGUUUUGUUUAGAUUAUUAUUGAUUUGAGCGUUUA
Molecule: long non-coding RNA, 242 nt
Filed under: Gossypium barbadense (sea-island cotton)
Lineage: Eukaryota; Viridiplantae; Streptophyta; Magnoliopsida; Malvales; Malvaceae
Description: long non-coding RNA (GBAR_LNC012313)
Source: RNAcentral